Molecule: ribosomal RNA, 308 nt
Filed under: uncultured bacterium
Lineage: Bacteria
Description: bacterial SSU rRNA
Rfam family: Bacterial small subunit ribosomal RNA
Source: RNAcentral
GAUGAACGCUAGCGGCAGGCAUAAUACAUGCAAGUCGAACGGGAUCACAAGCGCUUGCGUUUGUGUGAGAGUGGCGCACGGGUGCGUAACACGUAUGCAACCUACCUUCAACUGGGGAAUAGCCCGGAGAAAUUCGGAUUAAUACCCCAUAAUAUUCAGACACCGCAUGAGGUUUGAAUUAAAGCAUUGUGGUUGAAGAUGGGCAUGCGCGACAUUAGCUUGUUGGUGAGGUAACGGCUCACCAAGGCUGCGAUGUCUAGGGGGUCUGAGAGGAUGUCCCCCCACACUGGUACUGAGACACGGACCAG